UAGGUUGAGGAGGCGGUGACUGUGGCGGUGGAGGAGGUAGCCAACACUGGUUUUUAUAUAUACAUAUAUAUAUAUAUAUAUAUAUUUUAAUUGGGGUAGCCCCCAAAAUAUUGGGACAUAUAAAAAAAGACAACUCUGUUCCGCAGAGUAGCUGUUGACAUUAUAGUUGCGCAGGCACUUUAUUGACUCUAGAGAACCUAGGGCCAAUCGCACAUCCCUGUGGCGGCGACUUUGCAUGCGGAAGUCAUCCAUAUCAACUUUCGAUGCCAGUUUCUGCGCCUACCAUGGUGACCACGGAUAAUGGGGAAUCAGGGUUCCAUUCCGUACAGGGACUCUGAAAAAUGGCUACCAUGUGCAAGGAAGGUAGCAGGCACGCAAAUGACCCACUCCCGAUGCGGGAAGGUAGUAACGACAAAUAACAAUACAGGACUCUUUAGAGGCCCUGUAAUUGUAAUGAGUCAAUUUGAAAUCCUUUAACUCUGAUCAGUUGGAGGGAAGUCUGGUGCAGAGCCACUGACCCGUGCGUGCUGCAGCUGAAACUCCACU
Molecule: non-coding RNA, 546 nt
Organism: Pelobates cultripes (western spadefoot toad)
Lineage: Eukaryota; Metazoa; Chordata; Amphibia; Anura; Pelobatidae
Source: the annotation of a GenBank genome assembly